Molecule: ribosomal RNA, 479 nt
Filed under: uncultured bacterium
Lineage: Bacteria
Description: partial 16S ribosomal RNA
Rfam family: Bacterial small subunit ribosomal RNA
Source: RNAcentral
GAUGAACGCUAGCGGGAGGCCUAACACAUGCAAGCCGAGCGGUAUUGUUUCUUCGGAAAUGAGAGAGCGGCGUACGGGUGCGUAACACGUGUGCAACCUGCCUUUAUCUGGGGGAUAGCCUUUCGAAAGGAAGAUUAAUACUCCAUAAUAUAUUGAACGGCAUCGUUUAAUAUUGAAAGCUCCGGCGGCUAGAGAUGGGCACGCGCAAGAUUAGCUAGUUGGUGAGGUAACGGCUCACCAAGGCGAUGAUCUUUAGGGGGCCUGAGAGGGUGAUCCCCCACACUGGUACUGAGACACGGACCAGACCCCUACGGGAGGCAGCAGUGAGGAAUAUUGAUCAAUGGGUGCAAGCCUGAACCAGCCAUCCCGCGUGAAGGACGACUGCCCUAUGGGUUGUAAACUUCUUUUGUAUAGGGAUAAACCUACCCUCGAGAGGGUAGCUGAAGGUACUAUACGAAUAAGCACCGGCUAACUCCGUG